CAACAAAGAGUGAAACUCCAUCUCAAAAAAAAAAAAAAAAAGAAAUUAACUAGCUGGAUUUUAUUUAAAUAUUUUAUUAUGGAAGUUUCCAAAAAUAUCUGAAAGUAAAGUGAAUAAUAUCAUGAACCCCAUACACUCAUCUCCCAGCUUCAAGAAUUACCAAGUCAUAGCCGGUUUCGGUGCAUCUUCCACUGCCCGCCCCCACCCCACACAGGGUUAUUCUGAAACAAACACCAGCAUCAUUUAAUUUUAUUAUUGUAUUUCUUUUUUCUUUUCUUUUCUUUCUUUCUUUUUUUUUUUUUUUUUGAGAUGGAGUCUUGCUCUGUUGCUCAGGCUGGAGUGCAGUGGCGCAACCUUGGCUGACUGCAACCUCUGCCUUCUGAGUUCAAGCAAUUCUCUUGCCUCAACCUCCUGAGUAGCAGGGGCUACUGGCACACACCACCACACCCGGCUAAUUUUUGUAUUAUUGUAUUUCUUCUGAGAGAUAGGAUUUAAAAAAAAAACCUAUCCAUCAUGACACCUAAAAGUUAAUACAAAUUUCUUAAUAUCAUAAAAUAUCCAGUGCUCAAAUUUCCUCUAUUGUUAUUUAUUUAUUCUUUUCUUAAGCCCUUGGUUUGUUCAAAUCAGGAUGCAAACAAAGUCCAUACAUUGCAUUUGAUUGAUGUUUCUUAAGUCUUUCAGUCUGUAGCAACCCUACUCCUGCCCUUUUUUGUUUUUCUCCGCAAAUUAUCUGUUGAGGAAGUUGGGUCUUCUGUGCAGGAGGGUCUUCUGUAAUUCUGGAUUUUACUGAGUGCACCCCAUAAUGCAAUGUGUUCCUUAGUCCCCUCAAGUUCCUGUAAAAUGGUGGUUAGGUUUAUACUUCAUCAGAACCACCUUUGAUUUUUUGCUGACAAUCUUUCAUAGACGGUGCUAUGAAAUCCUCUUAUAUCAUAUCAGGCAGCACAUAAUAUCUGCUUGUCUUUCUGUGUGUAAUAUCAAGAUGGAUGGAUGGAUUCAGAUGUUGUCAGCCUAGUCCAUCCAUUAUAAACUCCCCAUCAGCUCUUCAACUCAUGGUUUUAGCAGACAUUGAUGAUUAUUGUUGCACCCAUUAUUUUUUUAAUCACAAAAGUCAUACAUGUAGGCUGAGAAUGGUGGCUCACGCCUGUAAUCCCAGCACUUUGAGAGGCUGAGAUGGGUGGAUCACUUGAGGCCAGGAGUUCGAGACCAGCCUGGUCAACAUGGUGAAACUCCAUCUCUACUAAAACUACAAAAAUUAGCUGGGUGUGGUGGCACACGCCUGUAAUCCCAGCUACUCGAGAGGCUGAGGCAUAAGAAUCUCUUGAACCUGCGAGGCAGAGGCUGCAGUGAGCCAAGACUGUGCCAUUGCACUCCAGCCUGGGUGACACAGCAAGCGUCUGUCUCAAAAAAAAAAAAAAAAGUCAUACAUGUAAAAUUGUAAAAAAAAAAAACCCAAAUAUCCAUCCAAAGGAGACUGAAAAGAUAAAAGCAGUAAUUAUAUCACACUGUAUUUAUACAUCAGGCAAUAUAGCAGUCAGAAUUUAAAAUCUAAAUAUAUCAUUUGGGGAGGCAUACAUAUGUGUUAAAAGUAAAAAAUAUGUAUAGGAAUGAUAAACUCCAAAUGUAAGGUAUUGUUUACUUCUUUUUGUAUGGGAGAAUGAGGAAUAGGACUGGGUUUCAAUUAUAUAUAUGAUUCAAUCAUAUAUAUAUAUAUAUAUAUAUAUAUAUAUAUAUAUAUAUAUAUACACACACACACACACACACACAUUUUGUUUAUUAACAGAGGUCUGUCUGAACUAUUUAUUGCAAAAUGUUAAGAUUUGUCAAAGCCAGAAGGUGUUAACUUUAUCUCUGUAGUUUCUUUGUAAGUUUAAAAUAUAAUUUUUUAAAAAAGGACUUGACAUAUAAACAUGGAAAAUAUUGCCAACUCAAAAGGAUGCAUAAUAAAAAAUAUAUUCUGUUCAUUUCAGACCCAUGGUUCUCCUCCUCGGAGACACUGAUUAUUACCCAUUUCAUAUGCAUCUUUCAGGAAUUGUCUAUGUAAAUGAAAGACUUAAUAUCCAAAAGAGCUGCUCCUUUCAGAAAAACCACUUUAAAACAUUUUUCAUUUUUCGGGACUUGCUCUAUUGCCUAGGUGCAGUGAUACAAUCAUAGCUCACUGCAGCCUCAAACUCCUGGGCUCGAGCAAUCCUCCCACCUCACCCUCCUGCAUAUUUGGGACUACAGGUACAUACCAUGCCCAGCUAAUUCAGAAAAACCAUGAGCCAUCUUUACACACAUGGACAUCUGACUGCACCCACCCAUGUGGGAGGCAGCCUAUAGACUGAGGCCUUCCAUCUGGAGAGUCCACUUUGUGAGCUUUUAUUUUGGAGACUCCCUGGAAACCAGUCUUUGUUUUCCCUGUCAACGGACCUGAAGCUAUCUGGUUAGUCUUUUCUUUUUUUUCUUUUUUCUUUUCUUUUCUUUUCUUGUUUGAGAUGGAGUCUUGCUGUCACUCAGGCUGGAGUGCAGUGGUGCGAUCUCGGCUCACUGCAACCUCUACCUCCUGGGUUCAAGUCUCCCAAAUAGCUGGGAUUACGGGUGCCUGCCACCAUGCUUGGCUAAUUUUUU
This 2607-nucleotide long non-coding RNA is filed under the name Homo sapiens (human). RNAcentral's name for it is "LHRI_LNC1106.1". The record is from RNAcentral. Lineage: Eukaryota; Metazoa; Chordata; Mammalia; Primates; Hominidae.